AUUGAACGCUGGCGGCAGGCCUAACACAUGCAAGUCGAGCGAGCGGCGGACGGGUGAGUUAUGUCUGGGAAACUGCCCGCUGGAGGGGGCUAACUACUGGAACCGGUAGCUACUACCCCAUACCAUCAGAUGUGCCCAGAUGGGAUGAGCUAGUAGGUGGGGUAACGGCUCACCUAGGCGACGAUCCCUAGCUGGUCUGAGAGGAUGACCAGCCACACGGGAACUGAGACACGGUCCAGACUCCUACGGGAGGCAGCAGUGGGGAAUAUUGCACAAUGGGCGAAAGCCUGAUGCAGCCAUGCCGCGUGGGUGAAGAAGGCCUUCGGGUUGUAAAGCACGUUCAGCGGGGAGGCGGUACCCGCAGAAGAAGCACCGGCUAACUCCGUGCCAGCAGCCGCGGUAAUUC
This 406-nucleotide ribosomal RNA is filed under the name uncultured bacterium. Its description in RNAcentral is "partial 16S ribosomal RNA". It matches the Rfam family "Bacterial small subunit ribosomal RNA", at positions 29 to 526 of the family's 1533-position model. The record is from RNAcentral.